RNAcentral lists this ribosomal RNA (429 nucleotides) under Verrucomicrobiota bacterium. RNAcentral describes it as "Verrucomicrobia bacterium partial 16S ribosomal RNA". It matches the Rfam family "Bacterial small subunit ribosomal RNA", at positions 355 to 776 of the family's 1533-position model. Lineage: Bacteria; Pseudomonadati; Verrucomicrobiota. The record is from RNAcentral.
UAGGGAAUCUUCCGCAAUGGACGAAAGUCUGACGGAGCAACGCCGCGUGAGUGAAGAAGGAUUUCGGUUCGUAAAACCCUGUUGUUAGGGAAGAAAAAAUGUAUAGUAACUAUAUACAAAAGAGACGGUACCUAACCAGAAAGCCACGGCUAACUACGUGCCAGCAGCCGCGGUAAUACGUAGGUGGCAAGCGUUGUCCGGAAUUAUUGGGCGUAAAGCGCGCGCAGGUGGUUUAGAAAGUCUGAUGUGAAAGCCCACGGCUCAACCGUGGAGGGUCAUUGGAAACUAAUAAACUUGAGUGCAGGAGAGAAAAGUGGAAUUCCUAGUGUGGCGGUGAAAUGCGUAGAGAUUAGGAGGAACACCGGUGGCGAAAGCGGCUUUUUGGCCUGCAACUGACACUGAGGCGCGAAAGCGUGGGGAGCAAACAGG